This 253-nucleotide ribosomal RNA is filed under the name uncultured bacterium. RNAcentral describes it as "partial 16S ribosomal RNA". It matches the Rfam family "Bacterial small subunit ribosomal RNA", at positions 524 to 776 of the family's 1533-position model. The record is from RNAcentral.
GACGUAGGGGGCGAGCGUUGUCCGGAUUCAUUGGGCGUAAAGCGCGCGCAGGCGGCCCGGUAAGUCGGAUGUGAAAUCCCACGGCUCAACCGUGGAACUGCAUUCGAUACUGUCGGGCUAGAGGCAGGUAGGGGAGAUCGGAAUUCCUGGUGUAGCGGUGAAAUGCGCAGAUAUCAGGAGGAACACCGAUUGCGAAGGCAGCUCGCUGGGACGUUACUGACGCUGAGACGCGAAAGCGUGGGGAGCAAACAGG